Molecule: long non-coding RNA, 1044 nt
Organism: Ctenocephalides felis (cat flea)
Lineage: Eukaryota; Metazoa; Arthropoda; Insecta; Siphonaptera; Pulicidae
Exons: 3
Source: RefSeq, a predicted model, not a curated record
AAAUUAUUUCAAUUUAAUAAAUGUUCAAGUAUAAAUAAAUAAAAAAAAAACAAGUAUUGCCCGAAAUGCUUCUACUGAUGGCGCGAGGUUUGAAUAGAAAUGCUCAAAAAUAAUUUUUUAUCCGCAAAUAUAUAUUUUUAAUAAUCUAAUCAUAAACAAAAUAUUUAUCAAAAGAUGCUUAGUUCUAAUUCUAUUUGUUGUUUGGAAUAAAUAUCAAAUAUUAAAUGAAUAACUUUUGAAUUUUGUGAAUUUGCUAUGCACGAAGCAAUGAUAUAUGGUAACACUACUGUGGUACAGGAACAGUAGGAUUAUCUAGGAUUAAAGAUGGCCGGUUGUCAACAAAGGGUGUUUGUGCUUUAUCUUGUUAGUAAACUUAGCAUUGAAAUAAAAUGGAAAAAUAUUUGAACGAUGCGUCAAAUGAAGAGGUUAGCAAGAGCACGCCGCUGUAUUGUCAUAGAAAAAUGAUACUGAAGAUAUAAAUCCAGUCAAUUUUACAAGAUCAAACACAUGAUGAUAUUUGGGAUCAUUUCGUGAAGAUUGAUGGUUCAAAAUAAUGCAUUCGGAGUUCAUCCCGCUUGUUAAAUUUGUGGAUGAAUUACAGUCACUGAAGAUGGGGACUAGUCUUGAAUUUAAAAUCUUCACAUAUAAUGAAGUGCGAUGAAACGGUAGUGAGAUGAGACAAGUCAUAUUCUUUUUUGCCCUAGGAGCACAUGGCAGAUCUUAGAAGUUACUUUAGUCAAGACAAUAUUUGAGGAGUACAAUUGUAAAUAGGUCAAGACUAGAGAAUGAUAUAGGUUCAGAAAUUAUAUCUGUUCCAUGUACAGUAGAAACUCGUUUACCCGGCUUUCGGUUAUGCAAACUACAAACCACGAGCAAUUUAUAUAUACAUGCAAAUAUUCAACUUGCACAUACAUACAAGUUUAUAGGUUUUUAGUAUAUGUAUGUUAUGUAAUCUAAGAAAAUAUAUAUGUACAUUUGUAAGAAAGUGUUUCUUAAUAAACACUAUUUUUGUUGUUGUCUAUGUAUGUACUUGUUAUUUUUAAU